This 751-nucleotide ribosomal RNA is filed under the name uncultured bacterium. RNAcentral's name for it is "bacterial SSU rRNA". It matches the Rfam family "Bacterial small subunit ribosomal RNA", at positions 106 to 853 of the family's 1533-position model. The record is from RNAcentral.
GUGAGUGCACGUAUGGAACCUGCCCGCCACGGGGGGAUAACCCGGGGAAACCCGGCCUAAUACCCCAUGCCGCCCGGACCGGGCAUCCGGACCGGGCGAAAGGAGGAAUCCGGUGGCGGCUGGGCAUGCGGCGCAUUAGCUUGACGGCGGGGUAACGGCCCACCGUGGCGACGAUGCGUAGGGGUUCUGAGAGGAAGGCCCCCCACACUGGAACUGAGACACGGUCCAGACUCCUACGGGAGGCAGCAGUGGGGAAUAUUGGUCAAUGGGCGGAAGCCUGAACCAGCCAAGUCGCGUGAGGGAAUAAGGCCCUACGGGUCGUAAACCUCUUUUGCCGGGGAGCAAGGGCCGGGACGAGUCCCGGUCCGGAGAGUACCCGGAGAAAAAGCAUCGGCUAACUCCGUGCCAGCAGCCGCGGUAAUACGGAGGAUGCGAGCGUUAUCCGGAUUUAUUGGGUUUAAAGGGUGCGUAGGCGGGCUUUUAAGUCAGCGGUAAAAAUUCGGGGCUCAACCCCGUCCGGCCGUUGAAACUGGGGGCCUUGAGUGGGCGAGAAGAAGGCGGAAUGCGUGGUGUAGCGGUGAAAUGCAUAGAUAUCACGCAGAACCCCGAUUGCGAAGGCAGCCUUCCGGCGCCCUACUGACGCUGAGGCACGAAAGUGCGGGGAUCGAACAGGAUUAGAUACCCUGGUAGUCCGCACAGUAAACGAUGGAUGCCAGCUGUCCGGGCCGAAUGGGGCCUGGGUGGCAAAGCG